GUCGAGAAUAAUUCACAAUGGACGAAAGUCUGAUGGUGCAACGCCGCGUGGAGGAUGACGGUCUUCGGAUUGUAAACUCCUGUCAUCCGGGAGUAAGACCUGGCUGUGAAUAGCAGACAGGGUUGAUAGUACCGGAAGAGGAAGGGACGGCUAACUUCGUGCCAGCAGCCGCGGUAAUACGAAGGUCCUGAGCGUUGUUCGGAAUCACUGGGCGUAAAGGGAGCGUAGGCGGCGUGGUAAGUCAGAUGUGAAAUCCCGGGGCUCAACCCCGGAACUGCAUCCGAUACUGCCGUGCUAGAGGAUUGGAGAGGUAGCUGGAAUUCUUGGUGUAGCAGUGAAAUGCGUGGAGAUCAAGAGGAACACUCGUGGCGAAAGCGAGCUACUGGACAAUAUCUGACGCUGAGGCUCGAAGGCCAGGGUAGCGAAAGGGAUUAGAAACCCUGGUAGUCC
This 450-nucleotide ribosomal RNA is filed under the name uncultured bacterium. RNAcentral's name for it is "partial 16S ribosomal RNA". It matches the Rfam family "Bacterial small subunit ribosomal RNA", at positions 354 to 796 of the family's 1533-position model. The record is from RNAcentral.